ACUCCUACGGGAGGCAGCAGUAGGGAAUCUUCCACAAUGGGCGCAAGCCUGAUGGAGCAACACCGCGUGAGUGAAGAAGGGUUUCGGCUCGUAAAGCUCUGUUGUUAAAGAAGAGCACGUAUGAGAGUAACUGUUCAUACGUUGACGGUAUUUAACCAGAAAGUCACGGCUAACUACGUGCCAGCAGCCGCGGUAAUACGUAGGUGGCAAGCGUUAUCCGGAUUUAUUGGGGCGUAAAGAGAGUGCAGGCGGUUUUCUAAGUCUGAUGUGAAAGCCUUCGGCUUAACCGGAGAAGUGCAUCGGAAACUGGAUAACUUGAGUGCAGAAGAGGGUAGUGGAACUCCAUGUGUAGCGGUGGAAUGCGUAGAUAUAUGGAAGAACACCAGUGGCGAAGGCGGCUACCUGGUCUGCAACUGACGCUGAGACUCGAAAGCAUGGGUAGCGAACAGGAUUAGAUACCCUGGUAGGAUAGCG
RNAcentral lists this ribosomal RNA (474 nucleotides) under uncultured bacterium. RNAcentral's name for it is "bacterial SSU rRNA". It matches the Rfam family "Bacterial small subunit ribosomal RNA", at positions 335 to 801 of the family's 1533-position model. The record is from RNAcentral.